UUGGACUACGGGGGUAUCUAAUCCCGUUUGCUCCCCUGGCUUUCGCGCCUCAGCGUCAAUGCCGGUCCAGGAUGCCGCCUUCGCCACCGGUGUUCCUCCAGAUAUCUACGCAUUUCACCGCUACACCUGGAAUUCCGCAUCCCUCUCCCGGAUUCAAGCCUGCCAGUAUCGGACGCAGUUCCCGGGUUGAGCCCGGGGAUUUCACGUUCGACUUAACAGGCCGCCUACGCGCCCUUUACGCCCAGUAAUUCCGAACAACGCUUGCCCCCUCUGUAUUACCGCGGCGGCUGACAC
RNAcentral lists this unclassified non-coding RNA (294 nucleotides) under uncultured Acidobacteriota bacterium. Its description in RNAcentral is "uncultured Acidobacteria bacterium contains 16S-23S intergenic spacer region". The record is from RNAcentral. Lineage: Bacteria; Pseudomonadati; Acidobacteriota.